AAUAGCAGAUGACUUCCAAACAAAAAAAAAACAUAAGGCCAUGGGAGAGGAGGAGUGGAUAUCAGGCGUUUGGCCUCUGAGGCAGUAAACAGACCAGCACCUCGGCAGAAGAAGUGGCAUGAUCUAUGUCUGAAGCCUUCCAGUUCGCUCCUUGUCUCAGUGCAUCCAGGAACCUCAUGUACAGUGGAACAGCAGCCAGGGCCUUCACCUGGUGAGACGCUACAGCCAGGACUCUACCUGCAGGUUCACCACCACCACCAAAGGAUGGUUGUGAUCAGCUAGUGGUGAACCUUGGCAUCAACCUCUGAUGUAUCCAGCCCCAUCACAAGCCCCACAAAAAGAAAAGUGUCACCACCUGGACACAGACUGUUUCUCCUGUGUCUCUUCCUCCUUCUCCUGUUCCUGUAUCAAGCCCAGCUUCUUCCAUUCUGCCCUCCACUGCUA
Mugil cephalus (flathead mullet) is the source of this 444-nucleotide long non-coding RNA. RefSeq lists it as uncharacterized. The transcript has 3 exons. The record is from RefSeq and is a predicted model, not a curated record. NCBI's taxonomy places the organism in Eukaryota, Metazoa, Chordata, Actinopteri, Mugiliformes, Mugilidae.